GUCCCUGCAGCGCAAUGGAUUGCGCGUUGGACAUCUAAUCCAAAGGUCGUGGGUUCGAAUUCCACCUGGGAUG
RNAcentral lists this transfer RNA (73 nucleotides) under Trichonephila inaurata madagascariensis. It matches the Rfam family "tRNA". Rfam says of the family: Transfer RNA (tRNA) molecules are approximately 80 nucleotides in length. Their secondary structure includes four short double-helical elements and three loops (D, anti-codon, and T loops). The record is from Rfam by way of RNAcentral. Lineage: Eukaryota; Metazoa; Arthropoda; Arachnida; Araneae; Nephilidae.